This is a non-coding RNA of Biomphalaria glabrata, 82 nucleotides long. The record is from Rfam. Lineage: Eukaryota; Metazoa; Mollusca; Gastropoda; Planorbidae.
GCUGUGAUGGCCGAGUGGUUAAGGCGUUGGACUUGAAAUCCAAUGGGAUCUUCCCGCGCAGGUUCGAACCCUGCUCGCAGCG